AUGAAGUUUUCGGAUGGAUUUAAAGCAGCUUAGUGGCGGACGGGUGAGUAACGCGUGGGUAACCUGCCUCACACUGGGGGAUAACAGUUAGAAAUAGCUGCUAAUACCGCAUAAGCGCACAGCUUCGCAUGAAGCAGUGUGAAAAACUCCGGUGGUACAAGAUGGACCCGCGUCUGAUUAGGUAGUUGGUGGGGUAACGGCCUACCAAGCCAACGAUCAGUAGCCGACCUGAGAGGGUGACCGGCCACAUUGGGACUGAGACACGGCCCAAACUCC
RNAcentral lists this ribosomal RNA (276 nucleotides) under uncultured Lachnospiraceae bacterium. Its description in RNAcentral is "partial 16S ribosomal RNA". It matches the Rfam family "Bacterial small subunit ribosomal RNA", at positions 66 to 339 of the family's 1533-position model. Lineage: Bacteria; Bacillati; Bacillota; Clostridia; Lachnospirales; Lachnospiraceae. The record is from RNAcentral.